This 69-nucleotide transfer RNA is filed under the name Ictidomys tridecemlineatus (thirteen-lined ground squirrel). Its description in RNAcentral is "Spermophilus tridecemlineatus (thirteen-lined ground squirrel) tRNA". It matches the Rfam family "tRNA". From Rfam's summary of the family: Transfer RNA (tRNA) molecules are approximately 80 nucleotides in length. Their secondary structure includes four short double-helical elements and three loops (D, anti-codon, and T loops). Lineage: Eukaryota; Metazoa; Chordata; Mammalia; Rodentia; Sciuridae. The record is from Rfam by way of RNAcentral.
GGGAUUGUGGCUCAGCGGUAGAGUGCUCGCCUAGCACUUGGGAGGCCCUGGGUUCGAUCCUCAGCACCA